RNAcentral lists this ribosomal RNA (460 nucleotides) under uncultured bacterium. Its description in RNAcentral is "partial 16S ribosomal RNA". It matches the Rfam family "Bacterial small subunit ribosomal RNA", at positions 338 to 795 of the family's 1533-position model. The record is from RNAcentral.
CCUACGGGUGGCAGCAGUGAGGAAUAUUGGUCAAUGGGCGUAAGCCUGAACCAGCAAAGUCGCGUGAGGGAUGAAGGUUCUCUGGAUCGUAAACCUCUUUUAUAAGGGAAUAAAGUGUGGGACGUGUCCUGUUUUGUCUGUCCCUUAUGAAUAAGGAUCGGCUAACUCCGUGCCAGCAGCCGCGGUAAUACGGAGGAUCCGAGCGUUAUCCGGAUUUCUUGGGUUUAAAGGGUGCGUAGGCGGCCUUUUAAGUCAGCGGUGAAAGUCUGUGGCUCAACCAUAGAAUUGCCGUUGAAACUGGGAGGCUUGAGGAUGUUUGAGGCAGGCGGAAUGUGUGGUGUAGCGGUGAAAUGCUUAGAUAUCACGCAGAACCCCGAUUGCGAAGGCAGCCUGCCAAGCCAUGACUGACGCUGAGGCACGAAAGCGUGGGGAGCAAACAGGAUUAGAUACCCGAGUAGUC